UUGAGUUUAUCUACUUGAGGCAGGGAACCAAUUCGGGUUUUAGCCGUUUUGUGGGAGUUCAUUGAACGCCAAGAACUUUGAUCGGUCUUCAUAUCCUCGUUUUGCUUUCACGAUGGAACCACUGAGAAUGCGCAUUAUUUUUGUUGUUGAUCAAUUAAUAAGUGUUUUACUAACUUACAUUAACAUUACAAGCUUUUUCCGUUAUUUUUUACGUUUUUAGACAUUUCUAUUAGCAUUUCAACGACAGUACAUUUUCCCUUAGGGCGCGGUAACGAACUAAUGUCACACUUUUAUAAAAAAUCUAGCAAUGCCAUGCUAUCACUUACUCAGUUGAUGAAGGUGGUAACAUCCGAUAAUAUGCACACAACCUUUCACAAGAGUGAUCACUAUAAAACUGGAAUGCUACGAGGAGAGCGAAGCAUUAUUGAAGCGGAGAGUUCUAUGUAUCUUUCUUGCACAGCUACUCACACAGCUACUAGUGUCCUAUCCUAAUUGUGUGUUUCCGGCCAACAACUACAGCAGGCGAGAGGCGAAUACAUAUGUGACGGGACUCUUGCCAACGGCUUUUAUCAUCAAGUCUCUUAUAUUGACGAAUCAAGAACUAAGAAAAUAGACGCCUUAUAUGAUGAUUACAUUAAAUAUUUUUUACCGAAAUAGAAGAUAAUGUAUCGAAUUAA
Long non-coding RNA from Drosophila sechellia, 677 nucleotides. RefSeq lists it as uncharacterized. The record is from RefSeq and is a predicted model, not a curated record. The transcript has 2 exons. Lineage: Eukaryota; Metazoa; Arthropoda; Insecta; Diptera; Drosophilidae.